GAGGUCUGUAAAUCCUGUUGGAGCAGCCUGCAGAGGCCAUGGCAGGAGCCACAGGAGCUGCACCAGGCCAGCAGCCAUCCCUCCUGGUGGGCAGGGAGGUCAAGGGCAGCACUGACCUGGAUUUCCUGAUCCCUGCCUUUGCUUAAGCCACCUUCCUGCCCCCAGGCCACAGCAGACAGCGUGCUCAUCCUGGUGUCUUCUGAGCAGUUUGUAUGGGACAACAAACACAUCGAGAUGUUUCCCAGGAGAACUUCCCCACAGCGUGCUUGGGAGCUCUCAGCUUUCACAGCACGUCCGGCUGCGUCCCAAGGAGGAGCCUCGGUGCUUGUUCGACACAUUGCAGACUAAAAACUCUUCCAUGGAGCAGAAAGAUGACAACUGGGCUGGGAAUCCCCACCUUUUCUCAGAAAAACUCCUGCUCUUUCAUCACCUCACAGGCUGAUUUCAUAAGGGAUUAAUCUGACUUGAGCCUUGCCCUCCUGGCAGUGGGAAUCCUCUAUUUCCAUUAUGUGUGAAAAUAAGCAUUUCUGGGGGGACUGAUUUGAAGCAGGCAUUGAAUCCUCCUCCUUCUAGAGACAACUUUAAUAAAUAACAGGGUAUGAACACAAAUUGCUUAGUGCUUGUUGAAGAACAACUGGAGAAAUCCCUUUAGAAAGCCAAACUGCUGCCAUGGGUUUCACUUGGAGCUGCUGCUGGCCCCAUGGUGUGGGGCUGUGAGUUCAGCUGAGAGCAAGUGUGGCUUCAUCAUGAGGUAGCUUGCCUGGGGGACACUUCAAAACCCUGUGAGCUGACAAUUUCCACAGCUGAUUGUGCUUGCUGAGCUGCUGCCCUGUGUGUGCUCAGCGUCACCAGACCAAGGGAAUGGCAGCUGUAGAGCACAGCACAGGCUCCUCUCCCUUUCCUGCACUCCCCAAGCAGGAGAGGAGUUCAUUUAUUAUGAUAUAGUCUAUAUUUUCCCUCUUCCCAAAGCACCUCGCUCAGCAGGAAGUUGCCAUAGCCCUGGAAACUCGUGACCAUUAUAAUUAUCAUCGCUCAGUUGUGUGACAUAAUGUUCUUUUAGUAAUCAAACCUUAGGCUGCUUUGGGCACUGUUGCCUGAGAAUAAUCAUAGGUCGGUUUUUUAAGUGGCAGGAGCUUGAUUCUGGGCUGGUGCCUCAUCCUGAGCUAUUGCUGAUUCCAUGGAUUUGCUGCACAGGCUCUGCAGGGUGUAAUCGCCAGCGCUUUGUGGCAGGCUGGCAGCUCUCUGCUGUGCCAGGUGCCUGUUUCCAACAAGAGUGGGGGUUUUUCUUGAUUUGUUUUGUUGGGUUUUUUUGUUUAGUUUUUUUUUUUUUUAUUUUCAGAAUGACUAAAUAACCUGUAAUCAGUAUUAAUUCCUUUGAAUGCUCCAGAGUGAGUUAUUGCUGAUUGCUGCUGUCUGACCCUAGUUAAGUCCAUUUCUAGAAAACGCUUUGUGUGACUGUGUGUGUACAGCUGAAAGGAAUGCAGCUUUCCCCUAAUUACAUACUGGUAAUGCAAGAGGAGACAUUUCUAGUUCUGCUUCUGAAAGUAUUUCCUUUAAGCACUGAUGAGCCAGUGAUAGCAGUAGCCUCUGAAACCAUUUUGAAAAGGAGAGACAAGGCAGGAACUAAUAGAGUUUCAUUACUCGAAGCCUUUGCAUAGAUUGUAGCAGCAAUUGAGCCAUCAGUAAGCCACUGGGGAUAAUAUCUUUAAAAUGCUCUGUAUUUUAAUAAGAUUAAAUUGAUUCGGGUCUUUGCCAGCCUUUUCAAAGCCAGUGCUGUAUGAUGGUCAGUAUUUCAGGCAGGUCUGCAUUGGGAAACAAAAAUUGAAGAUUUAUGUGUUUAAAUUGAAGAACACCAACACUCCUUUUUUUUUUGUACAAUGUACUGCCUUAGAUAUAUACAAAAUCCCCCCAAUAAGCAAGUCACAUUCCCUUAUCAGCUAUGCCUUUCUGAUUUUUCUACAGCCUUUGUUCCUAGCUCUUUAAUUUUAUUUAGAUCUCCUGUCAGAACCGUGAAGGCAUUUCUUACUGUGGGUGCUGCAAAUACAAUGAAUUUCUUGCAGAAGUGAGUUUAAUUGUCAAUACCAUUUGUUACAGUAUUAGUUAAGGAGCUGUGCAUAAAUCAAAAGGAUUAACAUGAUCUCUCGGGUAGAAUAGAGGGAUAGAACAUUAUAUUGCUCAUGUAUCAUUGAUGAAGAAUAUUCUCCCAACCUUUCAUUUAUAGAAAUGAAAAUGUAUUUCCCUAAAGUGAGUUCUGUUCUGUGUUUUCAAACUGGUAACACGAUUUUUACCAUUUAAUCAUUAAAAACUCUGUUUAAAUCA
Molecule: long non-coding RNA, 2319 nt
Organism: Parus major (Great Tit)
Lineage: Eukaryota; Metazoa; Chordata; Aves; Passeriformes; Paridae
Exons: 4
Source: RefSeq, a predicted model, not a curated record